AGUCGAGCGAACAGACGAGGAGCUUGCUCCUCUGACGUUAGCGGCGGACGGGUGAGUAACACGUGGAUAACCUACCUAUAAGACUGGGAUAACUUCGGGAAACCGGAGCUAAUACCGGAUAAUAUAUUGAACCGCAUGGUUCAAUAGUGAAAGACGGUUUUGCUGUCACUUAUAGAUGGAUCCGCGCCGCAUUAGCUAGUUGGUAAGGUAACGGCUUACCAAGGCAACGAUGCGUAGCCGACCUGAGAGGGUGAUCGGCCACACUGGAACUGAGACACGGUCCAGACUCCUACGGGAGGCAGCAGUAGGGAAUCUUCCGCAAUGGGCGAAAGCUUGACGGAGCAACGCCGCGUGAGUGAUGAAGGUCUUCGGAUCGUAAAACUCUGUUAUUAGGGAAGAACAAAUGUGUAAGUAACUAUGCACGUCUUGACGGUACCUAAUCAGAAAGCCACGGCUAACUACGUGCCAGCAGCCGCGGUAAUACGUAGGUGGCAAGCGUUAUCCGGAAUUAUUGGGCGUAAAGCGCGCGUAGGCGGUUUUUUAAGUCUGAUGUGAAAGCCCACGGCUCAACCGUGGAGGGUCAUUGGAAACUGGAAAACUUGAGUGCAGAAGAGGAAAGUGGAAUUCCAUGUGUAGCGGUGAAAUGCGCAGAGAUAUGGAGGAACACCAGUGGCGAAGGCGACUUUCUGGUCUGU
This 695-nucleotide ribosomal RNA is filed under the name uncultured Staphylococcus sp. Its description in RNAcentral is "bacterial SSU rRNA". It matches the Rfam family "Bacterial small subunit ribosomal RNA", at positions 60 to 737 of the family's 1533-position model. Lineage: Bacteria; Bacillati; Bacillota; Bacilli; Caryophanales; Staphylococcaceae. The record is from RNAcentral.